UAAGGAAUAUUGGACAAUGGUCGCAAGACUGAUCCAGCCAUGCCGCGUGCAGGAAGACGGCCCUAUGGGUUGUAAACUGCUUUUGUACCAGAGAAAACCUAUCUACGUGUAGAUAGCUGAUAGUAUGGUAAGAAUAAGCAUCGGCUAACUUCGUGCCAGCAGCCGCGGUAAGACGAAGGAUGCAAGCGUUAUCCGGAUUCAUUGGGUUUAAAGGGUGCGUAGGCGGGCUUGUAAGUCAGUGGUGAAAUCUCUCAGCUUAACUGAGAAACUGCCAUUGAUACUGCAGGCCUAGAGUAUAGAUGACGUUGGCGGAAUAUGACAUGUAGUGGUGAAAUGCUUAGAUAUGACAUGGAACACCAAUUGCGAAGGCAGUUAACUACACAAAUAUUGACGCUGAUGCACGAAAGCGUGGGGAUCAAACA
Molecule: ribosomal RNA, 422 nt
Filed under: uncultured bacterium
Lineage: Bacteria
Description: bacterial SSU rRNA
Rfam family: Bacterial small subunit ribosomal RNA
Source: RNAcentral